Non-coding RNA from Dermacentor albipictus, 558 nucleotides. The record is from RefSeq and is a predicted model, not a curated record. NCBI's taxonomy places the organism in Eukaryota, Metazoa, Arthropoda, Arachnida, Ixodida, Ixodidae.
UUAUCACUUGUAGCCGAUCCCUUCGGAAGUCAUCUGCUCCAAGUGAAUUAUGAAGACGCCAGUUUUGGGAUAUGCAUUCUCAAGUUUCAUGACGAACUGCUUUGGUGUUCCAGCAGUUUUUUUGUGCCUCAGUGUGUAAAGAGACAUUGUGAAGAAAAGUAAGCAGACGAACAGUGCAUUUUCAUCGCAAGUUUGACGGUGCUUAUUUCAAAAGGUGAUUUAAAAAAAAUGAUAAUGUCAAAAUAAGGAUGCCCGGUUACUAGAACUGCUCACAUUCAUUUACUUGGAUGCACAUACAUUGCUUUGCCUUUUUUUACAGAAAAGACGUGUUUACCUGCACUGGUGUCACCUCCAAUUGAAGAACAGCAGCUAGGCUGGAUGGGUCGGUGACAUAGAGGCUCUCCUGUACUUGACUGUUGUCUCCAGUAUCCAUUGCAGCCUGGUAGCAAGAGCACAUGCCAGCCAUUUCCGUUUAAACUUCAAUUGCAACCACUGUAUGCUUAUAACACAAUAAAAGUGUUGGGUGAAUUGCACAUAGAAUAGAUGCUCACCUGCGCA